GGCUCGGUAGCUUAGUUGGAAAAGCACUAGUCUAGCGUAUGAGGGUCGUGAGUUUAAAUUUUACCUGAGCUG
Molecule: non-coding RNA, 72 nt
Organism: Aedes albopictus (Asian tiger mosquito)
Lineage: Eukaryota; Metazoa; Arthropoda; Insecta; Diptera; Culicidae
Source: Rfam